UUGGAAUAGAGUCACUGGAAGCUGGGCAUAAGAGAUGGCUCCAUGGAGGAAGUUCUUCUACAGCUGGACUUGGGAGGUUUGAUGUUCUCUGUAUUACGUCACCUGGAAUUCUUCCUUCAAAUGGAACAUACAGGCCUGGAUCAGGUACAGGGAAGACGCAAACAGCACAUCGCUCAAAUCUGAUCAUUAAUAAGUGACAUAAGAGCCUGGCAGCGGCAGCAGCGGUUUUACAAGGACUGUGGAACCUAAUAGCCAAAUGAUCCUUCCUCAGCAACUUCCUGCUUCACAUUCCAGCUAUUUGAGACCAAGAAAUACCCAAUCACACUUCCCUAUUUCAUGGACUUGAGCUGCCUGAGGAUCCCUUGUAAUGAUUCCCCUUGGAUGCCCACUUCAGCAGUGGGCACUGUCCAUCUGCCAACUUGCAGCUAGAAGCAGCCAGGGCUCAGAGCCAAGGAGCUGGACCCAUGGCCUCGCAUGCCAAGAUACCAACUUGGUGUCAGCAAAACUGAAGAAAGCUUCAGGGCCACUUUUUGCUGCCUCACAGAAACUCCAGGGGAUUGGUUGGCAGGGAGCUCGCUUGCUUCGGGGAGAGGUGGAAGGUUUUUAACUCCACUGCUAAUGAGUGAGAUGGAGCCUGACAAGACAAUAACAAGAGGACUGGGGCCCAAAGACAUGAAGAUAGUAGGUCACAGAGCACUGAUUUAGACUGUUUCCUGGCCUCCAAGUUUGGGGCUCUUUCUAUUGUUCCACAUAUGUCUUAACUUGCCCAAAUUGCUCCCAAGAUAGAAGCUGUGGUGACCAUCCACAAGAGACACAGCAUUUGGCUCUGGACUGGAACCCAAAGUGCUGGGUUCAUGUGUUUGUGUGUGGACUUUCAGUUGGUGACUAAAAGGUUCCCUCUCUUCCCCUCUUCCUGGAGCCUGGCGAUAUAAGAAAUGGUCAAGGAAGAAGAGAUCCUGACUCCUGCCUCCGCUGAGUCCCUCCCUCUGGGCCAACAGGGCCAGUGCUGUUGCCUUCUACAGCCCCAUGUGGAUCCUUCUCUUAGGAGUGCCCAGUCCAGGUGCCAGGCCAAAAUUCCAGCAUGAUUGAAAGGCAUGACCAAAGAGCAGAGACAUGAGGCAAGAGGUGAUGGAAUGACUCCUAGACACGCCUCUCCUGACUCUGGCUGCUGCCACCACACUGUGGCCGCCUUCUCAUCCUGAAGCAUCUCUUCCUUAGCCCUGGAGUCUGCUGGUCCUGUUGACGAGCCAUUCUAAGGCUCCACUGGAGGAAGGGCCUGGGCCAGUCAUCCUUCUGACCUCCCCUGGACCUCUGGACUGCACUAGCCUGUCUCACUUGGCCCCUCUGCUUUCUGGAUCUCCCCCCUUAGAAUAUAAUCUCCUUGAGGGCAGGGGCUGCAUGUCUUUGUGCUUGCAUUUGUGCCCUUGGUGCCUAGCACAGUGCCAGGCAGCCCACAGGGGCUUAAUAAACAUU
This is a long non-coding RNA of Phascolarctos cinereus (koala), 1473 nucleotides long. RefSeq lists it as uncharacterized. NCBI's taxonomy places the organism in Eukaryota, Metazoa, Chordata, Mammalia, Diprotodontia, Phascolarctidae. The record is from RefSeq and is a predicted model, not a curated record.